GGAUCGGCAGCCGAAGUGACGGCGGCGGUCGCCUCGCGCCGCCGUGAGGGAGGCGCCGGGCCGCUGCGCGCGGCUCUUCCCGCCGCUGGAGGCGCGCGCCUGAGGGCGAGCUGUGAGCGCCGUUACCGCGCGCUGCGUGCGCCUUCCGGGAGUCGCUGCCGCCCACUCGUUCCGUUUCUUGAGCCCGGGGCUUUGUAAAUCAAAUCGUGCUCGGCUUCAUGAAAAAAGUGAGGCGGGUGGAGCGUGACAAUGGGAAGUGGCCAAGAAAUUGUGAGCAGCCGAUCAGAACGCGCUGCUAGUUCAACAGUCUUGUUUGGAUAACCACGUACAGACACAGCUGCAAGUAGCACUAGGUGCCACGGCAUUCAUUGAAAGUACCUUCGGUAUCGUAGCAUGGUGUCGUUGAGCAGCUGGAAAUUCAGAGUUCUGGCAACACAUUAGCAGUCACAUCCCUUCAGAACAUCAACAAACAUUCUGAAGAAUAGCUUCAUUCCUUGAACCAGAUUUUCAAAGUGCACAAAUACACCUGCGUGGAAAUCCAAAGGAAACAGUUCCAGAAACAGUACUGCAACCUGUUUAUUCCGACUGUGUGAUGUAGUUCCUACGAAAGAACUUGUAGCAGCAGCCAUAGAAAUACUUCAGGGAAUGAGAAGAUCCUUGAGAAGCAACCGAAGGGAAAAACAUCUGGAAAAUAGACAUUUGCUGACUGAAAAGCUAUUUAAGAGAACUAAUAUCAUUAAAUAGCCCUUUUAUUUCUGACCCUUUUCUCCAAAGAAAUCUAUUCUCUAAAAUGUGGGUGCUAUUGCUGCCUUGAUAUUACCUGAAAUUGAAACAUUUGUUAUCGCUUGAGGAAAUUGAAGUUUAGAUCUGAAAAUGCAUCCAAUAAUAAGGCUCAUUAAGAAACAGCACUGUGUAGAAGUACAGAAAUUCACAAAAAAAAAAAAAAAAAAAAAAAAGAA
Gallus gallus (chicken) is the source of this 959-nucleotide long non-coding RNA. RefSeq lists it as uncharacterized. Lineage: Eukaryota; Metazoa; Chordata; Aves; Galliformes; Phasianidae. The transcript is spliced from 3 exons. The record is from RefSeq and is a predicted model, not a curated record.